AUUCAGUUGGCGAGUCCAAAAUAGAACGAAAGGCGCGUCCUGGAU
Molecule: non-coding RNA, 45 nt
Organism: Schistosoma rodhaini
Lineage: Eukaryota; Metazoa; Platyhelminthes; Trematoda; Strigeidida; Schistosomatidae
Source: Rfam